Molecule: ribosomal RNA, 474 nt
Filed under: uncultured organism
Description: partial 16S ribosomal RNA
Rfam family: Bacterial small subunit ribosomal RNA
Source: RNAcentral
ACACUCCUGCGGGAGGCAGCAGUGGGGAAUUUUGGACAAUGGGGGCAACCCUGAUCCAGCAAUGCCGCGUGAGUGAAGAAGGCCUUCGGGUUGUAAAGCUCUUUUGUCAGGGAAGAAACGGUGGUGGCGAAUAACUACUACUAAUGACGGUACCUGAAGAAUAAGCACCGGCUAACUACGUGCCAGCAGCCGCGGUAAUACGUAGGGUGCAAGCGUUAAUCGGAAUUACUGGGCGUAAAGCGUGCGCAGGCGGUUGUGUAAGUCAGAUGUGAAAUCCCCGGGCUCAACCUGGGAAUUGCAUUUGAGACUGCACGGCUAGAGUGUGUCAGAGGGGGGUAGAAUUCCACGUGUAGCAGUGAAAUGCGUAGAUAUGUGGAGGAAUACCGAUGGCGAAGGCAGCCCCCUGGGAUAACACUGACGCUCAUGCACGAAAGCGUGGGGAGCAAACAGGAUUAGAUACCCUGGUAGUCCCAU